AGCUCACAGUUUAUUCGUUUCAUUUACUGCAUAAACCCAUUUUUGCAACUUCCAGAUCUUUUGCUUCUUCAUACGUCGGAGUGCUGAAGAAGUGAUGAAGAUUCAGUGUAAUGUUUGUGAGGUUGCGGAGGCGAACGUGUUGUGCUGCGCCGAUGAGGCGGCGUUGUGUUGGUCGUGUGAUGAGAAGGUUCAUGCUGCUAAUAAGCUUGCUAGUAAACAUCAGAGAGUUCCUUUAUCUGGUUCUUCUUCAUCUAUGCCUAUGUGUGAUAUCUGCCAGGAAACAGUUGGCUACUUCUUUUGUCUUGAGGAUCGGGCAUUACUUUGCCGAAAAUGUGAUAUUGCUAUUCACACAGCUAAUCCUCAUGUUGCUGCUCACCAAAGAUUUUUGCUGACUGGAGUGAAAGUAGGACUUGAACCUGUUGAUCCUGGUGGUAUUUCAUCCUCAGGGACAUCACAGUCCAUUCAGAAGGUUUCUGAGCCAGAGUCUGCUCCACUUUCAAAACGGAAUGCCUCAGUAUCAUUGGAUGCUCAAUUUAACAAAGUGUUACCUACCCAGGUCAGUGGCAUUGAGGAUUUUGCUCCUACUAAGUCUCCGUUUGCUGGAGGUUCUGCAGCUGGAAGUAUGCCACAAUGGCAGUUCGAUGAAUUUAUUGGUCUGAGUGAUUUCAAUCAAAAUUAUGGAUACAUGGAUGAUGGAUCAUCUAAGGCGGAUAAUGGCAAACUUGGUGGAGAGUCGGACUCUUCAUCAAUCUUAAGAGUUGAAGAUGAAGAACUAGAUGGUGAUGAGUGCUUGGGUCAGGUGCCAGACACAUCUUGGGCAGUGCCACAAGUUCCUUCCCCACCUACGGCCUCUGGACUUUACUGGCCCAAAACUUACCAGAAUCCGUUCGACUCUGCAGUGUUUGUGCCUGACAUUAGUUACUCCCCUUCAUCGAGCCUUCAACAACAACCUCCAAGUGGUACUCGUCUGAAACGAAGAAGGCAGUGUUAAUGCACUUUAAGAUUCUUCGCUCACGUUUGUGAUAGGUGAUUCAGAUCCCUAAGCUGUUCGCUCAUGUUAGUGAUAGGUGUUGCAGAUCCCUAAGCUCUUCACUAAAGUUAGUGAUAGGUGUCUAGAUAGAGCGGUGUGUGGUAGUUGAAAUUUGAUUUAAAGUUGUUUCCGCAAUGAUUAUUGUGUGUUUCUCCAAUGUAAGUAACCUGCACUGUCUGCUGCAGUUACAUAGAAUGCCAAAAGUGUAUUAGUUCCACUCCAAUUCCCAGAAGUUGUACAAGAAAAUGAAUUUGUGUAAAACUGGAACCAGAGAAAAAUGACCAGUGUAUCAU
RNAcentral lists this unclassified non-coding RNA (1323 nucleotides) under Hevea brasiliensis (rubber tree). The record is from RNAcentral. Lineage: Eukaryota; Viridiplantae; Streptophyta; Magnoliopsida; Malpighiales; Euphorbiaceae.